Long non-coding RNA from Cynoglossus semilaevis (tongue sole), 1658 nucleotides. RefSeq lists it as uncharacterized. NCBI's taxonomy places the organism in Eukaryota, Metazoa, Chordata, Actinopteri, Pleuronectiformes, Cynoglossidae. The record is from RefSeq and is a predicted model, not a curated record. The transcript is spliced from 3 exons.
CCCCACUCUACCUAGUCUACUUGUUUCUUUUAGAAAAUAACAUUUCUGAAGGCAUUAAAUAAAUAUAUAUACAUAACAGCACCUACAUGCUCUUAUGUCACAGUUGCCCACACAUCUACAUGUGGAGGGUACACACACACACAAACACACAAACACGUACUCUGUAAAAUUAGUAGGAGUGAUAAUCAUGGUGUUGAUGGUCCUUUACUCCCUUGAAGACAAACACAAGUCAUAUACACCAUUACAUUACACACCUACACACACGCGCGCACACAAACUGAUAGACUCUACUGUACAUCACACACAGUAUCCACCCACUUAUCGCUCCAUCUAAUUAUACUUUUGUGAACCGUGCCUUUCUAAAGUCAUGCAGAGGAGGACGUAGCUGCCGGAGAUAAUGAUAACACAUAUCAGACUGACGAGAACAAUGAUGAGUUUUCAUCAUGUUGUUGUUGUCAUGGCGGGUGGUUUGUAAAAAAAAAAAAAAAAGUUUGUAAAAAAAAAAAUGCAGCCAUUGUACAGGUGACCAUCAUGAUUGGUCACUGUUGGAGUUUAAAGAUUUGUAAUGUCACAUAUAUAGGUGCAAGAAACAUAUUUCAAUGUAAUUCUACUUGGAUAGCAUAGCUCUGCUACAGCACAAACCAAAAGCUAGGUUUUCAUAUACUGUAUUUAAAAUGUGUUUUCUGUCGCUGAGAUCCUAUUGGAGAAUCCAGCUGUCAGUCCGGGUUCAAAUUGAGUUUCAAAACAUCACAAAUACAGAAUAGCAAUACACUCAGUAGAACACAGAUGGCAGUGUGAGCUUUUUUUUUUCUUCUUCUGUCAGGCAGGCAGUGUGUUCUCUGACUUUUGUCUGUCUUUUGCUGUGUACUUGUACUAUUAUUUUGGGCAUCAUUUUGUUGAAUUUAACUGCAGGGCUGGGUUAGAAACUCACUGCGGCCUCGUUGUACCGUGUGACGAAGUACUUAUUUAUUGUGGCAGUGCUAACAGACAACUAAAGCGACACGGGUGUCGUUCAAGUAGUUCGUUUGAGUAUCGCAGACGGAGGACGACUGUGGUAAAAGCUGCAGAGUGAUGGGUCCUGUCGCUGCCGCCCUCACAGGAUCUUCGCAGCCUGGCUGCAGUGGCGACAGCAGCAUCGUUGGUAACGGUAACGGUGGUAACGCCGGUAACGGCUGAUCCCGACAGAUCUGGGCGUGAUGUAGAAUUUCGUGUCUCCGCGGAAAGAAAACCGGACGAGCUGAAAUUUAGCGCAGGUAAAUAAUCACGGUGGCCGAUUAUUUUAACACCGCACUGUUACUGCGUGGCCACACACCGGCGUGCGCGUGCGCAUGCCAACCGCUUUAUUGAGGCUGUUUAUCGACAACUAUCGCCGAUCAGUGACGGAUCGAUCAGCUGUUGAUUGAUUUUCAAUUUCUCCACGUCAUACGCGGACGACGCAGUCCAGGAUUGGGAAUAUAAAAUCGAUUCUCAGCGUGAGCGACUGACAUGAUCGAUAACAUGUGACAGCGUAUCGACCAUCUGUGUUGUCUUUUUGCCGUCCUGGCAGCCCAUCUGGGCUUCACGCCGUCCUUCUUCUUCCUCCUUCCCCCUCUACAGCAGGGCAACUGAGAAGAAAAACUCACCCCAGUGAUAAAAACCAAAGCAGCUUCUGAUCACAC